RNAcentral lists this long non-coding RNA (305 nucleotides) under Elaeis guineensis (African oil palm). Its description in RNAcentral is "long non-coding RNA (EGUI_LNC055761)". The record is from RNAcentral. Lineage: Eukaryota; Viridiplantae; Streptophyta; Magnoliopsida; Arecales; Arecaceae.
GACUGACAUAUUAUAAUAAUUUUAGGACACAAAUUUAUACUUAAUAUAUUGAUAUGAUCAAUAAAAGGAUAAUUUCUUUUUCAUUCAAGUGUGAUGUGUCCUUGAAUCGUCUAUGAAAUUAGUUUCGAUACAUAUUCUCAAGGUGUUGAGAAUUAGAGACAUGUAUUUAAUUCUUAAAUACUCCCCAUCAUAGGAUCAUCAUGAGGAUGGUGAUUGAUCUGGAUAGACUGAUGAACAAAUCACUUCCUUCUAGAUAGAUGAGUCUCUGGUCUACUAUGUAGAGACACAAGACGAUGAGUGUGGGU